RNAcentral lists this small RNA (1063 nucleotides) under Histoplasma capsulatum var. duboisii H88. RNAcentral describes it as "Histoplasma capsulatum H88 hypothetical RNA". The record is from RNAcentral. Lineage: Eukaryota; Fungi; Ascomycota; Eurotiomycetes; Onygenales; Ajellomycetaceae.
CCAACAAUAAACCCACGCAUGGUAAUCCUCUUCGAAAUGACCAUGAAUAUAUUCUUAAUCCCGUACCUCUCCUGUGGCCUCAGAUUAUACUGCGAAAUCAUGCCGCAGGCCACAAUGCGACCAAAAUCCCUCAUCGCAUCGAUGGCUGCCUCUAAGUGCUCCCCGCCGACAUUCUCGUAGUAAAUAUCGAUCCCGUCCGGUGCGAGGCGCGCCAGUCCAUCACGCGGCUUCUCCUUCUUGUAGUUGAACCCGCCGUCGAAUCCCAACUCAUUCAGGAUAUAAUCCAACUUGGCAUCCGUGCCGACGCUGCCAAUCACCUUCAGACCCAAAUGCUUCGCCAACUGGCCCACAACCUGGCCCACUGCCCCGGACGCGGCAGAGAUGAAGAUCGUCUCGCCCUGGACUGGCUUGCCGAUUUCCAUUAAAGAUGAGUAUGCGGUCAGGCCGGGCAUUCCUAGCGGGCCUAAGAAGACGCGGGUAUCUUCGAGGCCUAAGGGGUUGUCCAGCAGCUGGAUGGCUUCCAGGCCCGCUGGUGGCAGGACGACAUAUUCUUGUACGGGCAGGAAGCCAAUGACGUGAUCAUCCGGUUUGAACUUGCUGUUGUUGGAUGCCAGGACUUUGGCAACAGAGCGGCUGUAUAUGGGUUUUCCAAGGUCAAAAGCCGGGGAGUAUGAUUUGAUGGUGGAAUCGCGCAUGCGACCACGCAUGUAGGGGUCGAAGCUGGUGUAGAGUGAUUGAACAGUGAUUCCAUUUUCUGGAGCUGGCGUGGAGGCAUCAAUUGGGACGUUUUGAAUGGUUAAGUGCUCUCCCGGCACGGGGUAUCCGUUGGGGAUUUUGGAGAAGAAGAGGGCUUUGUUUUGGGGAGACAUUUUAGAUGCUGUGUCUUUGUAUUUGCGGGGAAUCGGGUACGGCGUUCUUAAUAUGGGUCACGUAUCUGGUAGCUAGAGGUGGAGGCAACUGUAGUGCAGAAAGGGAAUGUUGAUUUGGUUCUCAGUGCGACGAGGGGCGCAUUCAUGUGGAUUCUGGCUCAAUUGAAGGGAGGCUUUGUGCCCUUUAUACAUGG